Molecule: ribosomal RNA, 468 nt
Filed under: uncultured bacterium
Lineage: Bacteria
Description: partial 16S ribosomal RNA
Rfam family: Bacterial small subunit ribosomal RNA
Source: RNAcentral
GACGAACGCUGGCGGCGUGCUUAACACAUGCAAGUCGAACGGAAAGGCCCUGCUUUUGUGGGGUGCUCGAGUGGCGAACGGGUGAGUAACACGUGAGUAACCUGCCCUUUACUUUGGGAUAACUUCAGGAAACUGGGGCUAAUACCGGAUAGGAGCUCCUGCUGCAUGGUGGGGGUUGGAAAGUUUCGGCGGUUGGGGAUGGACUCGCGGCUUAUCAGCUUGUUGGUGGGGUAGUGGCUUACCAAGGCUUUGACGGGUAGCCGGCCUGAGAGGGUGAGCGGCCACAUUGGGCCUGAGAUACGGCCCAGACUCCUACGGGAGGCAGCAGUGGGGAAUAUUGCACAAUGGGCGGAAGCCUGAUGCAGCAACGCCGCGUGCGGGAUGACGGCCUUCGGGUUGUAAACCGCUUUCGCCUGUGACGAAGCGUGAGUGACGGUAAUGGGUAAAGAAGCACCGGCUAACUACGUG